UUACGGCCAGGGCUACACACGUGCUACAAUGGUCGGUACAAAGGGUUGCCAAGCCGCGAGGUGGAGCUAAUCCCAUAAAACCGAUCGUAGUCCGGAUCGCAGUCUGCAACUCGACUGCGUGAAGUCGGAAUCGCUAGUAAUCGUGAAUCAGAAUGUCACGGUGAAUACGUUCCCGGGCCUUGUACACACCGCCCGUCACACCAUGGGAGUGGGUUGCUCCAGAAGUAGCUAGUCUAACCGCAAGGGGGACGGUUACCACGGAGUGAUUCAUGACUGGGGUGAAGUCGUAACAAGGUAGCCGUAGGGGAACCUGCGGC
RNAcentral lists this ribosomal RNA (317 nucleotides) under Pseudomonas aeruginosa. RNAcentral describes it as "bacterial SSU rRNA". It matches the Rfam family "Bacterial small subunit ribosomal RNA", at positions 1202 to 1518 of the family's 1533-position model. Lineage: Bacteria; Pseudomonadati; Pseudomonadota; Gammaproteobacteria; Pseudomonadales; Pseudomonadaceae. The record is from RNAcentral.